RNAcentral lists this long non-coding RNA (1022 nucleotides) under Homo sapiens (human). RNAcentral's name for it is "oligodendrocyte maturation-associated long intergenic non-coding RNA". Lineage: Eukaryota; Metazoa; Chordata; Mammalia; Primates; Hominidae. The record is from RNAcentral.
GUGAAUCACAGGUCGGCGGGAGCCUUUUUUCCUUUUUUUUUUUUUCCCGGGGAGUCGGCCUCGGGGCUCUGCUCUCCUACCUCAGUCUGCCCUACCCUGGAAUGGGGAAAAUGCGGACAUGCCACUCAGUCCGGCCGCGAACAGUGCUCCAGAACUCAGAGAGUUUUCCAGACGGGUGGAGAUCGCGUUCCCUGCCCGCCGAGGUCCCAUCGCUUCCCUGCUGGGAAGACAAAUGAGGCGCUUUAGCCGUCUCCACGGCCAGCCCCUCCCUCAUAACCCGAGAUUCUUUGUGGGCUCUUAGUCCAUAGCUGCCUUUGAGGUGGUGUAGACCUUGCUAACCAGGACGGCCCAGUAGGCAGAGCUCAUUUUUAUUCCUGUCUGCAAUCGUGCAAAAACGCCUCUUAUGGAAAAGCCAGAGCGCCAGGAGUCAGCAAAACACACUAAAGAUUGGGCAGUCACUGGGGAGAACACUCAGCCCGCCUGCACCCAGGUGAAAUAUACAGCCUUGUUGCUCACACAAAGCCUGUUUGGUGGUUUCUUCACACGGAUGCAUGUGACAUUUGGUGCUGAAGACCCAGGACAGGAGGACUCCUUUGGGAGACCAGUGCCCUGUUGUCGCCCUCACUCCGUGAGGAGAUCCACCUAUGAUCUCAGGUCCUCAGACCAACCAGCCCAAGGAACAUCUUGCCAAUUUCAAAUCGGGAGUGUCAGGCCUCUGAGUCCAAGCUAAGCCAUCAAAUCCCCUGUGACCUGCACGUGUACAUCCAGAUGACCUGAAGCAACUGAAGAUCCACAAAAGAAGUGAAAGUAGCCUUAACUGAUGACAUUCCACCAUUGUGAUUUGUUCCUGCCCCACGCUAACUGAUACCAUAUAUUCUUCCCCCGCCCUUGAGAAUGUACUUUGUACACCUAUCCCAAACCUAUAAGAACUAAUGAUAAUCCUACCACCCUUUGCUGACUCUCUUUUUGGACUCAGCCCGCCUGCACCCAGGUGAAAUAAACAGCCCUGUUGCUCACACAAA